UUCUUCGGAAAGUAAGAUCCCUGAAAGAUGAUCAGGUAGAUAGGUUUGGAGUGGAAGUGUAGCGAUACAUGGAGCGGACAAAUACUAAUCGAUCGAGGACUUAACCAAAA
This 110-nucleotide ribosomal RNA is filed under the name Listeria monocytogenes. RNAcentral describes it as "partial 23S ribosomal RNA". It matches the Rfam family "Bacterial large subunit ribosomal RNA", at positions 2815 to 2925 of the family's 2925-position model. Lineage: Bacteria; Bacillati; Bacillota; Bacilli; Caryophanales; Listeriaceae. The record is from RNAcentral.